GGGUUGUGAGGUUAAGCGACUAAGCGUACACGGUGGAUGCCCUGGCAGUCAGAGGCGAUGAAGGACGUGCUAAUCUGCGAUAAGCGUCGGUAAGGUGAUAUGAACCGUUAUAACCGGCGAUUUCCGAAUGGGGAAACCCAGUGUGAUUCGUCACACUAUCAUUAACUGAAUCCAUAGGUUAAUGAGGCGAACCGGGGGAACUGAAACAUCUAAGUACCCCGAGGAAAAGAAAUCAACCGAGAUUCCCCCAGUAGCGGCGAGCGAACGGGGAGCAGCCCAGAGCCUGAAUCAGUGUGUGUGUUAGUGGAAGCGUCUGGAAAGGCGCGCGAUACAGGGUGACAGCCCCGUACACAAAAAUGCACAUACUGUGAGCUCGAUGAGUAGGGCGGGACACGUGGUAUCCUGUCUGAAUAUGGGGGGACCAUCCUCCAAGGCUAAAUACUCCUGACUGACCGAUAGUGAACCAGUACCGUGAGGGAAAGGCGAAAAGAACCCCGGCGAGGGGAGUGAAAAAGAACCUGAAACCGUGUACGUACAAGCAGUGGGAGCACGCUUCGGCGUGUGACUGCGUACCUUUUGUAUAAUGGGUCAGCGACUUAUAUUCUGUAGCAAGGUUAACCGAAUAGGGGAGCCGAAGGGAAACCGAGUCUUAACUGGGCGUUAAGUUGCAGGGUAUAGACCCGAAACCCGGUGAUCUAGCCAUGGGCAGGUUGAAGGUUGGGUAACACUAACUGGAGGACCGAACCGACUAAUGUUGAAAAAUUAGCGGAUGACUUGUGGCUGGGGGUGAAAGGCCAAUCAAACCGGGAGAUAGCUGGUUCUCCCCGAAAGCUAUUUAGGUAGCGCCUCGUGAAUUCAUCUCCGGGGGUAGAGCACUGUUUCGGCAAGGGGGUCAUCCCGACUUACCAACCCGAUGCAAACUGCGAAUACCGGAGAAUGUUAUCACGGGAGACACACGGCGGGUGCUAACGUCCGUCGUGAAGAGGGAAACAACCCAGACCGCCAGCUAAGGUCCCAAAGUCAUGGUUAAGUGGGAAACGAUGUGGGAAGGCCCAGACAGCCAGGAUGUUGGCUUAGAAGCAGCCAUCAUUUAAAGAAAGCGUAAUAGCUCACUGGUCGAGUCGGCCUGCGCGGAAGAUGUAACGGGGCUAAACCAUGCACCGAAGCUGCGGCAGCGACACUAUGUGUUGUUGGGUAGGGGAGCGUUCUGUAAGCCUGUGAAGGUGUGCUGUGAGGCAUGCUGGAGGUAUCAGAAGUGCGAAUGCUGACAUAAGUAACGAUAAAGCGGGUGAAAAGCCCGCUCGCCGGAAGACCAAGGGUUCCUGUCCAACGUUAAUCGGGGCAGGGUGAGUCGACCCCUAAGGCGAGGCCGAAAGGCGUAGUCGAUGGGAAACAGGUUAAUAUUCCUGUACUUGGUGUUACUGCGAAGGGGGGACGGAGAAGGCUAUGUUGGCCGGGCGACGGUUGUCCCGGUUUAAGCGUGUAGGCUGGUUUUCCAGGCAAAUCCGGAAAACUAAGGCUGAGGCGUGAUGACGAGGCACUACGGUGCUGAAGCAACAAAUGCCCUGCUUCCAGGAAAAGCCUCUAAGCAUCAGGUAACAUCAAAUCGUACCCCAAACCGACACAGGUGGUCAGGUAGAGAAUACCAAGGCGCUUGAGAGAACUCGGGUGAAGGAACUAGGCAAAAUGGUGCCGUAACUUCGGGAGAAGGCACGCUGAUAUGUAGGUGAAGCGACUUGCUCGUGGAGCUGAAAUCAGUCGAAGAUACCAGCUGGCUGCAACUGUUUAUUAAAAACACAGCACUGUGCAAACACGAAAGUGGACGUAUACGGUGUGACGCCUGCCCGGUGCCGGAAGGUUAAUUGAUGGGGUUAGCGGUAACGCGAAGCUCUUGAUCGAAGCCCCGGUAAACGGCGGCCGUAACUAUAACGGUCCUAAGGUAGCGAAAUUCCUUGUCGGGUAAGUUCCGACCUGCACGAAUGGCGUAAUGAUGGCCAGGCUGUCUCCACCCGAGACUCAGUGAAAUUGAACUCGCUGUGAAGAUGCAGUGUACCCGCGGCAAGACGGAAAGACCCCGUGAACCUUUACUAUAGCUUGACACUGAACAUUGAGCCUUGAUGUGUAGGAUAGGUGGGAGGCUUUGAAGUGUGGACGCCAGUCUGCAUGGAGCCGACCUUGAAAUACCACCCUUUAAUGUUUGAUGUUCUAACGUUGACCCGUGAUCCGGGUUGCGGACAGUGUCUGGUGGGUAGUUUGACUGGGGCGGUCUCCUCCUAAAGAGUAACGGAGGAGCACGAAGGUUGGCUAAUCCUGGUCGGACAUCAGGAGGUUAGUGCAAUGGCAUAAGCCAGCUUGACUGCGAGCGUGACGGCGCGAGCAGGUGCGAAAGCAGGUCAUAGUGAUCCGGUGGUUCUGAAUGGAAGGGCCAUCGCUCAACGGAUAAAAGGUACUCCGGGGAUAACAGGCUGAUACCGCCCAAGAGUUCAUAUCGACGGCGGUGUUUGGCACCUCGAUGUCGGCUCAUCACAUCCUGGGGCUGAAGUAGGUCCCAAGGGUAUGGCUGUUCGCCAUUUAAAGUGGUACGCGAGCUGGGUUUAGAACGUCGUGAGACAGUUCGGUCCCUAUCUGCCGUGGGCGCUGGAGAACUGAGGGGGGCUGCUCCUAGUACGAGAGGACCGGAGUGGACGCAUCACUGGUGUUCGGGUUGUCAUGCCAAUGGCACUGCCCGGUAGCUAAAUGCGGAAGAGAUAAGUGCUGAAAGCAUCUAAGCACGAAACUUGCCCCGAGAUGAGUUCUCCCUGACUCCCUGAGAGUCCUGAAGGAACGUUGAAGACGACGACGUUGAUAGGCCGGGUGUGUAAGCGCAGCGAUGCGUUGAGCUAACCGGUACUAAUGAACCGUGAGGCUUAACCUUACAACGCCGAAGGUGUUU
This 2932-nucleotide ribosomal RNA is filed under the name Escherichia coli. RNAcentral's name for it is "23S ribosomal RNA". It matches the Rfam family "Bacterial large subunit ribosomal RNA". The record is from RNAcentral. Lineage: Bacteria; Pseudomonadati; Pseudomonadota; Gammaproteobacteria; Enterobacterales; Enterobacteriaceae.